UGUUAAUGUUGACAGAAAAUAAAAAAUGUUAUGGUUAAAAAUGUUCAUGUUUUACUUUGACCUGUUGUAGGCUCCUAAGUGGACCUUAAGGGUAAAAACCAAACCAAACUGAAGAAAAUGAAGAUAAAAACUAAACAAACAACCAAACAAAUUAAUCACUAACCUAAAACUCCUCCAGAGUGUCUCUUUUGGGCCAUUUUAGCCAGUCCCCAAGCCCAGAUGAAGGAGGAGGGUUGGAAUUGGGACAU
This is a long non-coding RNA of Sphaeramia orbicularis (orbiculate cardinalfish), 248 nucleotides long. RefSeq lists it as uncharacterized. The record is from RefSeq and is a predicted model, not a curated record. The transcript is spliced from 2 exons. Lineage: Eukaryota; Metazoa; Chordata; Actinopteri; Kurtiformes; Apogonidae.